Xiphophorus hellerii (green swordtail) is the source of this 498-nucleotide long non-coding RNA. RefSeq lists it as uncharacterized. Lineage: Eukaryota; Metazoa; Chordata; Actinopteri; Cyprinodontiformes; Poeciliidae. The transcript has 2 exons. The record is from RefSeq and is a predicted model, not a curated record.
CAGAUUCUCCAGCUCAUUUCCUCACCUGAGGCUUGGAGCGGCUGCGAUGCAGCGGAGCAACACAAGCGCCGCCAGGAGAAACACAGGCACUCUCAGGGUUGGGUGGAAAAGGGAGGGACUCUCAUACGUUCAGCCACAUUUGUUUUCGGACAGCCGCAUACAGAGGAAUUGCUGCACGUCAUCAUCAUCACCACCUCCUUCGUCACCAUUGUCAUCAGUCGCCGUGUUGGGACUGACCCGCCGCAAACUCAACAGAGAGCAGAACUCUGUCAAAGUGCUGUUUGCCUUGUGAGACGCCUCAUGAAGAACAGGUCGCCAAACUUGAGACCCUGAGGGACUCCAAGGCGAUUAAUAAUAGAUUUGAAGAAGAAUUGCAUUUAAUAAUGAAUAGCCGCUUAUCAGUUUAGCGUGAUUUGUCAUUCACUACAGAUUCAUUCGUAACGUAAUGAUGAAGUGUAAAAAAAAUAACAUAAAAUACUGCAUGUAUGUUAAAACCAA